UUAAUUAAAGCCAAAAAGAGGCACAUAGCUGUUAACUAUGGAACUGAGUAAAUACUCUAAUUAAG
This 65-nucleotide transfer RNA is filed under the name Heterodoxus macropus (wallaby louse). Its description in RNAcentral is "tRNA-Asn". Lineage: Eukaryota; Metazoa; Arthropoda; Insecta; Psocodea; Boopidae. The record is from RNAcentral.